AGUAGCCGCGGGAAUACGGAAGGUCCAGGUGUUAUCCGGAUUUAUUGGGUUUGAAGGGAGCGUAGGCCGCAGGUUAAGUGUGUUGUGAAAAGCAGUCGCCCAACGUCUGCCUCGCAGCGCAAACUGUCCUGCUUGAGUGCGCACAACGCAGGCGGAAUUCGUCGUGUAGCGGUGAAAUGCUUAGAUAUGACGAAGAACUCCGAUUGCGAAGGCAGCUUGCGGGAGCGCAACUGACGCUGAAGCUCGAAAGUGCGGGUAUCGAACAGGAUUAGAUACCCCAGUAGUCCCUGUCUCUUAUACA
This 301-nucleotide ribosomal RNA is filed under the name uncultured bacterium. Its description in RNAcentral is "partial 16S ribosomal RNA". It matches the Rfam family "Bacterial small subunit ribosomal RNA", at positions 510 to 808 of the family's 1533-position model. The record is from RNAcentral.